This 66-nucleotide transfer RNA is filed under the name Trapezia digitalis. Its description in RNAcentral is "tRNA-Ala". The record is from RNAcentral. Lineage: Eukaryota; Metazoa; Arthropoda; Malacostraca; Decapoda; Trapeziidae.
UAAGCUAUAGUCAAUUUUAUGAUAUAUGAGUUGCAUUCAUAAGGAGUUUGCUUUAAACUAGCUUUA